This 477-nucleotide ribosomal RNA is filed under the name uncultured bacterium. Its description in RNAcentral is "partial 16S ribosomal RNA". It matches the Rfam family "Bacterial small subunit ribosomal RNA", at positions 30 to 507 of the family's 1533-position model. The record is from RNAcentral.
AUUGAACGCUGGCGGCAUGCCUUACACAUGCGAGUCGAACGGUAACAGGUUAAGCUGCCGAGUGGCGAACGGGUGAGUAAUGUAUCGGAACGUGCCCAGUCGUGGGGGAUAACUGCUCGAAAGAGCAGCUAAUACCGCAUACGACCUGAGGGUGAAAGCGGGGGAUCGCAAGACCUCGCGCGAUUGGAGCGGCCGAUAUCAGAUUAGGUAGUUGGUGAGGUAAAGGCUCACCAAGCCGACGAUCUGUAGCUGGUCUGAGAGGACGACCAGCCACACUGGGACUGAGACACGGCCCAGACUCCUACGGGAGGCAGCAGUGGGGAAUUUUGGACAAUGGGCGCAAGCCUGAUCCAGCCAUGCCGCGUGCGGGAAGAAGGCCUUCGGGUUGUAAACCGCUUUUGUCAGGGAAGAAAAGGUUCUGGCUAAUACCUGGGACUCAUGACGGUACCUGAAGAAUAAGCACCGGCUAACUACGUG